Non-coding RNA from Aegilops tauschii subsp. strangulata, 1427 nucleotides. The record is from RefSeq and is a predicted model, not a curated record. NCBI's taxonomy places the organism in Eukaryota, Viridiplantae, Streptophyta, Magnoliopsida, Poales, Poaceae.
GAGCCCGAGUGGGAGAGGCAGGCCAGUCGCCCGGGAAGGCGACACAACCGCUUCGGACAGUCGCCUCCAGCCCAAAGCCCCAAGCCAUCCCGCGAUGCCCUCCCUCCUCUCCCCCUUCGCCGCCGGCGACUGCUCCGCCGAUAAGUUCGACCCCGACUACCUCUACUUCCUCCGCCACCUUCGCACCGAAGGCAGCUCCUAUGUCCUCGAGCUCCCGCCCGGCGGCGCCUCCCCUGCCCCCGUCAUCAGGUACGAGUCCCCCAUCGCCAUCUCCGACGGCGAAUGCGUCUCGGACCCCUCCCCGGGCGGCGCAAGCGCCAACCGCCGGGCGGAAGAGAGGGACUCGUCGGUGGAGACGCCCCCCUCGUGGAUCGACUCCAUCGUCGACAUCGACGAGGAUUACCGCAUUUUCCUGCACCACACGUGCGUGGUGAAUAACCGCCUGAAGCUCCAGAUGGGGGGCGUCGUUGUGGACUACGAGCCGGACCCGGACGCCGCGCAAUCUGGAGGCAGCAGCGGGGUCGAGGAGCAAUCGGAGAAAGACGCGGCCGUUGCUUCCUCGGAGGGAGAGGAGCAGGUGGUCGACUCAGAUGUGCCGGUUGUAAUUAUGCCGGAGCCGAACGCCUACGACUGGCGUGCGGAUCCAGCCCCUCGUCAAAGGAUGCAGGGUCAGGAAGAUAUUGGGCACAAGGAUGCUCAGCCUCGCGUUGCUUCGUCACAUAGAUCAGGUGCUAUAUGGCCCCCACAUAUCAACCGUAGGCCAGAUUCAGACUUCAAGCGAAGAUUGAUGGAUGCUCUUCAGAAGCCAUUUAGCCGGAAAGAAUAUAUUAAGCUGUUUGACAUGGCUUCUAUUCGUACUCCUUUAGUGAAGUUGCGACAGGUGCGCAAUGAUGCAAAAUUCUACCCUACCGAGGAGAUGGGCAAUUCGUAUUUUGAUCAUUACCCAGGCCAAAAUGCUUAACAUUUUUGCCUCAAAAUUUGCAGAUCUCGUCGAACAAGUUACAAACACUAGCUUUUCCAAGGGUUUAGCUCUGAUGCGUGGAUUUUUCUUCUGGUUACAGAAUAGUGCACACGAGGAUCAAUUCAGGCCAUGGACAGAUGAUCUGAAAGAUCAAGAUGUUAUUCCAUUGAUGGACUUAGAUUACCCAUUGCCUUAGUUCACUCAUAUUCUCUUUUGUGGAGAUAAUUCUUAAAGGGCGAAAUCAUUCUCAGUAGAGAAUAUUUGAUUUUUAUCAUUUUAUAUAUGGAGUGUGCGAAUAAGUGCUGGGGCAGUCUGCUUGUGUGGUUCUUUCUCUUGGGAGAAUAAAUGUAUAUAUUGCUCAACUGUUGAAAGGAGAAAUCAUUCCCUGUGAAAUUGCAUACAUUCUAGGAUACAACUGGGAUCUACUCCCUCCGAUUCUAAAUAUAAGCCUUUUUAGAGAUUUCAA